This 765-nucleotide ribosomal RNA is filed under the name uncultured Streptococcus sp. Its description in RNAcentral is "bacterial SSU rRNA". It matches the Rfam family "Bacterial small subunit ribosomal RNA", at positions 28 to 776 of the family's 1533-position model. The record is from RNAcentral. Lineage: Bacteria; Bacillati; Bacillota; Bacilli; Lactobacillales; Streptococcaceae.
GACGAACGCUGGCGGCGUGCCUAAUACAUGCAAGUAGAACGCUGAAGGAAGGAGCUUGCUCUUUCCGGAUGAGUUGCGAACGGGUGAGUAACGCGUAGGUAACCUGCCUGGUAGCGGGGGAUAACUAUUGGAAACGAUAGCUAAUACCGCAUAAGAGUAGAUAUCGCAUGAUAGCUGCUUGAAAGGUGCAAUUGCACCACUACCAGAUGGACCUGCGUUGUAUUAGCUAGUUGGUGAGGUAACGGCUCACCAAGGCAACGAUACAUAGCCGACCUGAGAGGGUGAUCGGCCACACUGGGACUGAGACACGGCCCAGACUCCUACGGGAGGCAGCAGUAGGGAAUCUUCGGCAAUGGACGGAAGUCUGACCGAGCAACGCCGCGUGAGUGAAGAAGGUUUUCGGAUCGUAAAGCUCUGUUGUAAGAGAAGAACGAGUGUGAGAGUGGAAAGUUCACACUGUGACGGUAUCUUACCAGAAAGGGACGGCUAACUACGUGCCAGCAGCCGCGGUAAUACGUAGGUCCCGAGCGUUGUCCGGAUUUAUUGGGCGUAAAGCGAGCGCAGGCGGUUAGAUAAGUCUGAAGUUAAAGGCUGUGGCUUAACCAUAGUACGCUUUGGAAACUGUUUAACUUGAGUGCAAGAGGGGAGAGUGGAAUUCCAUGUGUAGCGGCGAAAUGCGUAGAUAUAUGGAGGAACACCGGUGGCGAAAGCGGCUCUCUGGCUUGUAACUGACGCUGAGGCUCGAAAGCGUGGGGAGCAAACAGG